Molecule: transfer RNA, 55 nt
Filed under: Perkinsus olseni
Lineage: Eukaryota; Perkinsozoa; Perkinsida; Perkinsidae
Description: tRNA-Cys
Rfam family: tRNA
About the family: Transfer RNA (tRNA) molecules are approximately 80 nucleotides in length. Their secondary structure includes four short double-helical elements and three loops (D, anti-codon, and T loops). Further hydrogen bonds mediate the characteristic L-shaped molecular structure. tRNAs have two regions of fundamental functional importance: the anti-codon, which is responsible for specific mRNA codon recognition, and the 3' end, to which the tRNAs corresponding amino acid is attached (by aminoacyl-tRNA synthetases). tRNAs cope with the degeneracy of the genetic code in two manners: having more than one tRNA (with a specific anti-codon) for a particular amino acid; and 'wobble' base-pairing, i.e. permitting non-standard base-pairing at the 3rd anti-codon position.
Source: RNAcentral
GCUCAGUGGUAGAGCGGCUGACUGCAGAUCAGCAGGUCCUCAGUUCAAAUCUGGG